GUUCUACUGAAGAGUCCCAAACUAGGACGGAACAGCCGUCCAGUAC
This is a non-coding RNA of Trichobilharzia regenti, 46 nucleotides long. The record is from Rfam. Lineage: Eukaryota; Metazoa; Platyhelminthes; Trematoda; Strigeidida; Schistosomatidae.